CAAAUAUCAGAACAAGGUGUUCCAACAGUACCCACAAGGGACAAAAGGCAAAGUAUGACAGGGAAUCAAUGUGAUGUACACAGAAGACAAUACUGAACUAGGCGGAAAUCAUGAGCCUGGGAGUCUAAGGGCUUUGGGAUCACAGACAAGAUACUUCAACUCUGACCUUGAGAGUUUUCAGUUAUAAAACAAAGGUGCUACAAUAGAUUUUCUUUUCACUUUCUUCCCAAACUGGAUAUCCUUAUCCCCUCUUCCUGCUUAUGCCAUCUCUCACUUGGGAACUCACUUACAAAAGCCAGCACUGACCUUCUACUCCUUCCCCUAGAACCCUCUUCUGAUGCUCCUCUUCCUCGGCUUUCUGAGUCACUCCUUAAGCAACGUUGGAGAGAAGCAUUGCCAGGGAAAAUGGAGGGAAAGGAAGGUAGAGAAAGAAAGGAAGAGAGGAGACUGGUUGAUUUAAAUUAAAAUCUAAGAAAUAUAACCCAAAAAAGAAUCAACCCAGAAAACAUAAUCCUUUUCUGAUCACCAAACUAAAUAGGGCAGGGAAGAAAGUAACUGGAGUGCUCCUUCUUACAACCCUGAUACCAACUGAUGUUUCCAGUUCAGAACAAGAUCAUGAAUUCUUCUAAGACCUCAACCAUCAAUAAAGUGAUUAUGAGAAGUCUCAAAUGUCACAGUUCACCGGUUUCCAAAAUACUCUCCAGAUGAAGAUCUAUCAUUUAUACGGCAGAAAGUCAUCCAUCUCCACUUUCCAUCUAGUUUUUUCUGGCAGAGUUCCAACAAUGAAUAAAGAAUGGAAAACUAAAACCCUAUAAAUGUCACCAAAAUGUAUAAUUUUACCUAAGGGAAGAACUAUAUGAUAGUUUAGCAUAAACGUCACUUAAUGGAAGCAAUUUGAAAUAAAAUUGAAGACAAAAUGAAUGUCAAGAUUUCCAACAAUUCCAUCUUAAAAUGAUGUUUUCCUAUGUAUCAAAAUAUACAAUCAGUUUAAAAGGUCAAUUCAUCUACUUCCUCAACAUUUAAGACAUUUCUUAAAGCCAAGCCAGAAUUCAUUCUCGAAUAACUGUUUGGCAAAUAAGAAGAAACUUAAAAUACUUCAGCAUUUACUCACAUUGGAUUCCAAAGUGUGUAUCUAAAUCAAUUCUAGAAAUAAAGCACUGCCAAACCAUU
Ictidomys tridecemlineatus (thirteen-lined ground squirrel) is the source of this 1170-nucleotide non-coding RNA. NCBI's taxonomy places the organism in Eukaryota, Metazoa, Chordata, Mammalia, Rodentia, Sciuridae. The record is from RefSeq and is a predicted model, not a curated record.